GUACUAGUUUUCCUUUACGUGUACGUUCAUGUCGUCAUUAGGUUCCUACCAUUUAAGCAUGGGCUCAUUUCUAUGUUUCAAGUACUGAGUUUUCUUAUUUUUGUUGGUUGUUGGUGCUUGUAGCUUCGAUCAGAGAAAAAUAUAGAAAAUAGACGCAGUAACAAGACAAAGCACAAAUGCGGGACGAAGUCUCUAGCAGUUAGAGUACAUGAACAUGCUCUAAAAAAUGGGGGUCAACUGCCUAAAUUGCCGGAGUUCUAUAAAUCCACUCACUAUAAUGAGGGCACGGGCGAGUGGAUUGCUCCAAAAUGCCAGACUAACUAUGAGGAAAUGGUCCGAGUAGAUGCUACACUUAAUCAGGAAGGUGCUACCCCAUUAACAGGGGAGCAGAUGUCCGUCACGGUGCUGAAACAGAGACCAGGUUAUGUGAAAGGACUUGGCUUGAGGCCUUCACCAUCUAUUAGGACCACAUCUGAAACUGCGCUGAAAAAGCACUUGGCUUGCGGCCUUCCUCCUCUGCCACGACCCAUGAAUACGUGUCAUGCCUCGAGAUGAAAAUAGAGGCACAAAAUGAGACCAUCGAGAAGCUUUUAGAGGCAAAUAGGCAGCAGCAGAAGAUAAAUGCUAGCAUGAUGGAGUUUCUCAUUGAAAAAGGGUACACUGGACAUGUUGGGAGUGCUGAAACAUCAUCUAAUGAUUGAUUGCAUGUAAGAUCGAUGUUCUUUUUGGAGUUCGUGGUUGUGGGAGAUGGAAUUCAAAGAAGGAUACGUUGCAAAAGUUGGCCCCGAGGUGGUAGUAUUUUGGAAAGAUCCAUGAUGCUUUUUGAAAAUUCUAAAGCAUAAGUAGUGGUAAACUUGAUAUUUUGUUUCCUGGGGCUAAACUUGAUAUUUUGUUUCCCGAUAGUAGUGGUAAACUUGAUAUUUUGUUUCCUAGGGCUAAACUUUGUAGUUGAAAGGAUUUGGCUAAUGUUUCACAGUAAUGACAAUUUGUUUUCUUGAAAGCUAACAGAUUUUUGUUAUUUAUGGUUAUGAUUGUCCAUGGUUGUAUGAGGUGGUGAUAGAAUCUAAACAUGAGCAGGGAAUGUAUAAAAAAUGUUUGCAAGGACUAAGGAG
This is a long non-coding RNA of Rhododendron vialii, 1112 nucleotides long. RefSeq lists it as uncharacterized. The record is from RefSeq and is a predicted model, not a curated record. The transcript has 4 exons. NCBI's taxonomy places the organism in Eukaryota, Viridiplantae, Streptophyta, Magnoliopsida, Ericales, Ericaceae.